Molecule: unclassified non-coding RNA, 250 nt
Filed under: plant metagenome
Description: partial contains small subunit ribosomal RNA, internal transcribed spacer 1, and 5.8S ribosomal RNA
Source: RNAcentral
GUUGGUGAACCGGCGGAGGGAUCAUUAAAGAGUCUAACAACUCCAACCCCUGUGAACCUUACCUUUACUGUUGCUUCGGCGGACGAUGGCCCCCCGGGGCCGGAGGCCGCCGGAGGUAUCAAACUCUGAAUCUUUGGUGUAUCUCUGAGGAAAAAAACAAAUAAUUAAAACUUUCAACAACGGAUCUCUUGGUUCUGGCAUCGAUGAAGAACGCAGCAUCUGACUGACUCGACAGCUGACAAUAUCGUAU